GAUGAACGCUGGCGGCGUGCCUAAUACAUGCAAGUAGAACGCUGAAGGAGGAGCUUGCUCUUCUGGAUGAGUUGCGAACGGGUGAGUAACGCGUAGGUAACCUGCCUGGUAGCGGGGGAUAACUAUUGGAAACGAUAGCUAAUACCGCAUGACAACAGUUAUUGCAUGAUAACUGUUUAAAAGUGGCAACUGCUCCACUACCAGAUGGACCUGCGUUGUAUUAGCUAGUUGGUGAGGUAACGGCUCACCAAGGCGACGAUACAUAGCCGACCUGAGAGGGUGAGCGGCCACACUGGGACGGAGACACGGCACAGAGUCCUACGGGAGGCAGCAGUAGGGAAUCGUCGGCAAUGGACGGAAGUCUGACCGAGCAACGCCGCGUGAGUGAAGAAGGUUGUCGGAUCGGAAAGCUCUGUUGUAAGAGAAGAACGAGGGUGAGAGUGGAAAGUUCACACUGUGACGGUAUCUUACCAGAAAGGGACGGCUAACUACGUG
Molecule: ribosomal RNA, 495 nt
Filed under: uncultured bacterium
Lineage: Bacteria
Description: partial 16S ribosomal RNA
Rfam family: Bacterial small subunit ribosomal RNA
Source: RNAcentral